RNAcentral lists this ribosomal RNA (253 nucleotides) under uncultured bacterium. RNAcentral's name for it is "partial 16S ribosomal RNA". It matches the Rfam family "Bacterial small subunit ribosomal RNA", at positions 524 to 776 of the family's 1533-position model. The record is from RNAcentral.
UACGUAGGGGGCUAGCGUUGUCCGGAAUCAUUGGGCGUAAAGGGUGCGCAGGCGGCCGAGUGUGUGAGGUGUGAAAGCCCGGGGCUUAACCCCGGAAUUGCACCUCAAACUACACGGCUAGAGCAUUGGAGAGGGUAGCAGAAUUCAUGGUGUAGCAGUGAAAUGCGUAGAUAUCAUGAGGAAUACCAGAGGCGAAGGCGGCUACCUGGACAAUUGCUGACGCUCAGGCACGAAAGCGUGGGGAGCAAAAGGG